Molecule: long non-coding RNA, 1528 nt
Filed under: Sus scrofa (pig)
Lineage: Eukaryota; Metazoa; Chordata; Mammalia; Artiodactyla; Suidae
Description: lncRNA (ENSSSCG00030057859.1, ENSSSCG00040000687.1, ENSSSCG00060021910.1)
Source: RNAcentral
ACUUAUUGGCUUUCACCCUUGACUUGGCCUUGAAGUUUUGGAAUUUCUAGCUCUCAAGUUUUUUCAGGAGAGCUUUAGAAACAACUUGUCAAGUUUUCACCACAAAUACCAUUGGAGUUACAAUUGGAGUCUCACUGAAUUAUAGAGUAAUUUUUGGAGAGCUAUCAUCUUUAUAAUCUUCUCAUACAUGAAUGUGGAGUUGCUGGUAGAAGACUUCAUGAAGGAGAGAAGAAAAGGAAAAAAUCAGAGGAUGACUACAGCCUCCUUCAUCUCAGCUUUUCAAAGCAUUACUCAACAGAGGGAUCACUCUCUUGAAUACUCUCCAGACCACAGGCCAUCAGUCUAUUACAGGCUCUAACUGGGAGGAGCCUUAUUGUGAAUGAAGCUUCGGUGGGUGCUAGGAGUAACACCGUGUUUCUCUGGAUAUGAGAAGAAUGGAGGGCAGAGAGCAAGGGAAGGAAGCUAUGAAAUAUUGGAGUAACAAAUGCUUGACGUUUUAGUGGGUAUUGGACCUAGAAGCCUAUAUGAUUGAAGGAAGCAAACCUGGAGAGGUCUGAUGUUUGUGAGUGAAGAUAGGAGUGAACUCCUUAUUGCAAUUAAAAAUGGAGUGAGGGGGAGGAAAAAAAUGACAGAAAUCAUAAGAUCCAUUACUUCAGUGAAGGAAGCACUGAGACUUGCUUCAUAAACCUGUAAUUUUUAAAGGUAGAUUGAAGAUAAGUUGUUGUGCUGCACUAUUUCUAUUCCUACCCGUGAGAGUUACUGCCAGCCACUCUUCUCAGGUAGAUCUGCCUUUAUGGAAAUUUCUGUUGACCCACGUAAAGAAACAACCCAGAAAAACAUUUGCAACAUUGAAGAACUCUGGUUCAGUGACAGGGUGUUAAAGGAGUCGAGGAUAGAGGAAAUAGCUCAAGUAGUACCAAAUAGCUCAGGUUGUUUUUUUUUUUUUCUUUUUAAUAGGAUGAUUGGGCCAGAGACAGUGGGCAGAAUGACUUCAGGCAACCCCAAACACCAGAUAUGGCAUAAGGAAACAGUUCAAGGAAAAGGUCAAUCCUUGGACCUAGUAUUUGUGAUGCAAUAUCUUAAAUUAAAAGGAAGAGCUGCUUUGGAGAAGGGUUUUAAAAGAUUGUAUUUCAUAGAAAGAAGAAAGAUUUGAGGAGAAACUUCCAAUUAUAUAAGAUGGGCAUUAUAACUUUUAAAGACAUCUGUUGCCUGCAUGGGUCAUAGAGAUUGAUACCAGUAUCAGCCUGUGGCUGACUAGGCCAGUUUAAGUGGUUUCCUGUUCGAAGAGAGAUGCUGCCAUUCUCUCACUUUGGCAGGUAUUCACCUGCAAUGAGUCCAGUACCUGGAGGAGCAAGAAAAAAACAAGCAUCCAGGGGGACAAUAGUAUAGCCUUCUGAGUUAAGAUAGCAACUGAAAAGAUCAUGGGAUUGGCUGCACUGGGCUGGGCUUGUUUGUUUUUUCAAAAUAAAAAAGUUUUCUUUUUGAUGACAAAAGUAAGAGAUGAUCAUUCUUUAAAAAUAAAGUGAAA